This is a non-coding RNA of Tetranychus urticae (two-spotted spider mite), 1412 nucleotides long. The record is from RefSeq and is a predicted model, not a curated record. NCBI's taxonomy places the organism in Eukaryota, Metazoa, Arthropoda, Arachnida, Trombidiformes, Tetranychidae.
UUCCCUAAAGAAGGGAGCUGAGAUAAAAAGAUGUGUAUACAAAAUGAUUUGAAAACAAAUGAAAUGAAAUUAAUAAUAAAAUUGGAUAUGAAUUGUAAAACCAGUCAUUCCAACCUUGAUUAUUACUUGAGUAACAGAUCCCACUUUCCCUUGGACAAAAGCAAGCCUUGUAUGUGUUUCUUUCACUCCUCUCUCUCUCUUUCUUUUAAUCGCAAUAUUCAGUCACAGAACCACUUCUACGGAAAAAUUAUCCAUCUCUACCAAUAAUAACACUUCGUUCUUUAGAUAAAUCAUCUGUUGGAGAUAAUUGUGUCCACCGAGAUGAAAGAUAUUCAAUUUUUCAAUCAACUCAGUGAUAGAGGAUGUCAAUGGCAAGAAUGCACACUUUUGAUGCCUGCUGUAUCAGUUGGUAAUGUUGGACAAUUAGCUGUUGACCUUUUAGUUACAACAUUGAUUUGGGAAAGAAAAGUGAAAUUAGUUGGGCGCAUAUUUUCAACAGCACUGAAAAGCGUUUCUGGUCCUAAUGCUUAUCAAUUUGAUGACGAUAGUCCUAUCAUGACUACUUGUGAAGGUAUGAGCUAUCAUAAAUUCCAGCCUUGCAAAUUUUCUGAAUAUAAUUAAUAAUUAUUAAUGGAUCGUCUACUUGACAAUUUAAAAUUAAAAACCAUUGGAUUAUAGUGAUCAUUAUGAUUUGUUAAGCCAGUAUCAUUUUAAAAUCAAACCAUCGAGACUUGCUUGUGAAUUUAUUGGACAUUAUGAGCUAUGGGUAGUUCAAUUCAAAGAGAAAAGGAAGAUCAACUUUGGUUCAACUCUUGAUUCUUAUUAAUUACAAUAUUGCUGAUAACCUUAUCAUCAAUUACUAACAAUAUUAUAAAUGGGUUAUAAUGUAAUUUUCAAUGCUAUGACAGUGACAAACUGGUGCAAGUUGACUGUCAAAUCUAUUAAUAUUCAACAAAGCACUCAUCCUACUGUAAAUUAACCGACGCAUAACAGGGAACCCUCGCUAAUUUUAGCAGAGUCCUGAUGACCAAGUAAACAGCUUCGUUUAAUCCAGUUUAAAUACAAAUUACUCGGUUAAACAUCCGAAAUUAAAUAAUAAAAUUAUAAUUAAAUUUUUGUAAAACUCUUAUAAGGGCUAUUUGUCCUAAAUAUUACAGAAAAAUAGCCAAAUUGCUAAUCCUACGACGUGUAGUUUGAUUGUAAAGGAUAAAUCUGAUAAUUGCUCUAAAGCAAACCAUCUUUAAAUCUGACCUUUCAUUCCCCAUCAUCACUUAAAUAUCAAACAAAAGUGUAAAUCUAAUAUGAAUACGUAUAUUAAUUGAAGUAAUUCAGAUUGUUAUUUUUCCCACCUUUAUCUUUUAAUGAAGUGAUUAUGGAAGCUAAAGUUAAUGACAUAAACUUUAUUUACUUGA